CGGAGGGUGCAAGCGUUAUCCGGAUUCACUGGGUUUAAAGGGUGCGUAGGUGGGCAAGUAAGUCAGUGGUGAAAUCUCCGGGCUUAACCCGGAAACUGCCAUUGAUACUAUUUGACUUGAAUACUGUGGAGGUCAGCGGAAUAUGUCAUGUAGCGGUGAAAUGCUUAGAUAUGACAUAGAACACCAAUUGCGAAGGCAGCUGGCUACACAAAUAUUGACACUGAGGCACGAAAGCGUGGGGAUCAAACAGGAUUAGAUACCCUGGUAGUCCACGCCCUAAACUAUGGAUACUCGACAUUUGCGAUAAACUGCAAGUGUCUGAGCGAAAGCAUUAAGUAUCCCACCUGGGAAGUACGAUCGCAAGAUUG
Molecule: ribosomal RNA, 368 nt
Filed under: uncultured organism
Description: bacterial SSU rRNA
Rfam family: Bacterial small subunit ribosomal RNA
Source: RNAcentral